This 468-nucleotide ribosomal RNA is filed under the name uncultured bacterium. RNAcentral describes it as "bacterial SSU rRNA". It matches the Rfam family "Bacterial small subunit ribosomal RNA", at positions 28 to 507 of the family's 1533-position model. The record is from RNAcentral.
GAUGAACGCUGGCGGCGUGCCUAAUACAUGCAAGUCGAACGGAGAGUGUUAGCUUCGGUUGAUAACUCUUAGUGGCGAACGGGUGAGUAACGCGUUGGUGACCUGCCCCGAAGAGGGGGAUAACAGCUCGAAAGGGCUGCUAAUACCCCAUAAGGUGCUAGAGGUUAGAGGCUCUAGCAAGAAAGGAGUAAUCCGCUUCGGGAGGGGCCUGCGUCCCAUCAGCUAGUUGGUAGGGUAAAGGCCUACCAAGGCGAAGACGGGUAGGGGACCUGAGAGGGUGGCCCCCCACAAUGGAACUGAAACACGGUCCAUACACCUACGGGUGGCAGCAGUAGGGAAUAUUGCACAAUGGGCGAAAGCCUGAUGCAGCAACGCCGCGUGUGCGAUGAAGGCCUUCGGGUUGUAAAGCACUUUUCGGGGAGAUGAGGAAGGACAGUAUCCCCGGAAUAAGGCUCGGCUAACUACGUG